Anopheles gambiae (African malaria mosquito) is the source of this 1120-nucleotide long non-coding RNA. RefSeq lists it as uncharacterized. The transcript is spliced from 2 exons. Lineage: Eukaryota; Metazoa; Arthropoda; Insecta; Diptera; Culicidae. The record is from RefSeq and is a predicted model, not a curated record.
CGCGUGCACUGGUGGUUCUUCUUCUUUUCUCAAUUACAGUGGAAGUGCAGCACGACUAUCGUUCAUCUCCGCAAAGGACUGUGUCACUGAUAUCACGCGGUUCACACACUAGCCCACCGACUGACACUAGCACACUCACACGCGGCCACAUGUGGAUUAUAAUCGCCCCCGUCGCGCCCAGCGUUCCAGCUUUCCCACUGAUUCGUUCACCAAAUUCUGCUCUUGCACCUCUCCUACCCGCAGUCACACACAAAAGGGUGUUCACACACAGGUGGUCACAGAAACCAGAUUUCUCGCACACAGUCUCACAAGCGCACAACCCACCCGAGCAAGCACGUGUCGUCGCUCGCUGUUCUCGAAGUUGCCGUACUGCUGCCGUGUACUGCCACCUACUACACUAACGAACCAGCGAACUCAAACUCGGCUCACGCGCUGCAGCCCGCACCAAACAUCACCGUGACCGAUGCAAAUGGCGGGGGGUGGAGUGGGCGCGAGCGGGCGCUAGAUGGGCCCGCUGGCGGGCAAGGGGUAUAGGGCAAGGAAAAGCCAAAUCCGCGUCGUCCCCAGAAUGUGUGUGUGUGUGUUUGUGUGUAUGUGUGGUGUGCGGCUAGCGCAUACGAGAGCAAGCUCGCGGUGAGAUACCGCGACCAGUUCAAAUCUCACUCGAUUACAGGGUGGCUAGGGAAUGUUAAACAGUCAUUGAACAAUCGAACAGAAUCAAUUGGAAAACUCCACAUUUUCUUUUUCCCUUUCAAACAACUUUGUAAUCUUCAAUCUUGAUCUUAAUAAUCUUCUUUCAUAACUGGUAGCGUUAAAUGCCCAGGAAAUCAGAACAGAAAUCAUUUACAUAGGCCGACUUGAACGAAGCUGUUUUAGAUAAUGUUUUCUUGGUUUUCUGUGGUUAAUUCACUAAAAAAAUCAGGGUGUUGUUGAUUAAAUUACAGUCAAUUAUUGUACACACCCUUAGUUUAAAGCAUUUUCGCUUUCUCUUCAGGCGUAUAAAACAUUACAUUAUUAAUUUUCUUUUGCUUCAAACAAGUACUACAAUUAUCAUCAUCAAACUUGUUUAACAUUUCAACUGGUAAACCAGACAAUAAAAUUCUCCUAAAUAACAAUAAAA